RNAcentral lists this ribosomal RNA (468 nucleotides) under Alvania ogasawarana. RNAcentral's name for it is "partial 16S ribosomal RNA". It matches the Rfam family "Bacterial large subunit ribosomal RNA", at positions 1816 to 2581 of the family's 2925-position model. Lineage: Eukaryota; Metazoa; Mollusca; Gastropoda; Littorinimorpha; Rissoidae. The record is from RNAcentral.
UGGCUCUUUGAAUUUUUUAUAUAAAGAGUCGAGCCUGCCCAGUGAUAAAAUUAUUUAACGGCCGCAGUAUUUUGACUGUGCAAAGGUAGCAUAAUCAUUUGCCCUAUAAUUGAGGGCUUGUAUGAAUGGUUUGACAAGAACAAAGCUGUCUCUAAUAGAUUCUUUUGAAAUUAACCUUUAGGUGAAGAGGCCUAAAUAAAACUAAAAGACGAGAAGACCCUAUCGAGCUUUUAAAAUUUACUAGAAAAACUAAUAAUAUUUUUGGUUGGGGCGACCGAGGAACAAAUAAAGCUUCCUUAAUUUUAAAAACUUGUAGGUAUUGAUCCAAUAAUAUUGAUUAAAAGAUAAGUUACCGUAGGGAUAACAGCGUAAUUUUCUUUAAGAGUUCACAUUAAAAAGAAAUUUUGCGACCUCGAUGUUGGACUAAAGUGUCCUAAAGAUGAAGAAGUCUUUGAGGGUUGGUCUGUU